AAAACAAUAAUAUAGAAGAGACAGUAAACACCGGGUGAAAAAUUUGGGAGAGAACACCAUGUAUACACCUCCAUUUAUCUCAAUUUUAGACUAACACAUGCGUCCCUCCUCCAUUAUUUUCAUGUUUUCUUCUCCUUUACUCCGAUUUCAGCAACUAACAAUAAAAAAACAAAACCCUUGUGCAAUUAAUAAUUCCUUUCAAUAUUUUUUCAACAAACAUCAAUAACACUAUUAACAGAGAAAAAAAGGGAAUUGGAGUUUUGUCAUCUUCUCUAUUUCAGUUUCGACACCCAACACACCAUUAUUCUCAAAGCUUUAUUUUUUUCAGUCAAUUGACUAUCACAAAUUCUAUCUUCGACAAACUCACAUUUGUCGAAUAAUACAGACCACACAACUACAACAUCGAGGAGCAACACCAUUGACACACACCCAUAUAUGAAAAAUAGACGACUACAUACAGAUAAAUCGAUAGAGAAAGACAACAAAGAAAGAAAGAAGAUGGGGAAAACACCAUAAAUGACUUCACCAUGAACCCAUAUCAUCAUUAUCAUCAUCUUCUCCUCUUAUCGAAUUAAAGAUGACCACCAGAUCCACUACCCAAACACUAACUCUUUCAAUGCACCACCUCACAACAAACUUCAAUCACCACCACAUAAUAAAAUUUGGCAAACACCACAACAAACAACUAGUUAAAUUAAACAAUAAUGCUAGAAAAGCUAAUUAGUGAUUUCCAUUUAUUUCUACCAGCAAUAACAUUCAGGUCCCAUCAUCAAUAUUGAAACACCACUGCUAACUCCAAUAUGCCAUUGGUAAACACCAUUACUGAUCGGACUCUUACCAUAGCUGACCCACUUUUAUCAUUAGCACUCUGAUUCCAUGCAUAAGACCAUAAUUUUGACCCAGCUUUGAUCAAUUUUAAAAGUGGUUUGGUUCAUAUUUAAGAGAAAAUAGAGGGUUAUCAGGCUUGGUGAAGUAGAGUUGAGGUCGAUAUUUGUUGGAUUUAAUCUUAUGUUGAGGUUUGGGGGGGGGGGAGAUCCAAUAGAGAAAUUUGACAAAUUAAAAUAAAGUUAAGGUCUAACUCUCUCUUUUCUCCUUUUAAUCUAUAUGUGAUUAUUGAUGUGAUUUAUUAUUGUUGUUUGAUUUUCUGGGUGAUUCUACUAAUGUUUAAUAUUGUUUACCUAUGAAUAAUUGAUUUUGAUGAAAUGAAAUGGGUCGUAAAGGGAUUUUGGUUUGAUUUGGUUUUGUUUACAUCACCAUUGCUAUUGUUUUAGACUUGUUAUACACUCAGUAGUAGCAUGUUUAAGCCAUCAAUUUGGGUAGGCAAAGUAUAGGUUUUGGUAGUUGUUUAUAUGUUGGAAUUAUGUGUUGGGGUGUUUUCUUUAAUUUUUGAUCAAAUGUAUUCAUUUAUCAGGAAAUGUCCUAAAGUACUGUGUAUUCAAAGACUUAUCUAUUUUACUGGGAAACAUCUUGAAGUACUUGUAUCAAAGACCGUUUAUGAUCAAGGACCAGGAUAUCGGGUGAAUCGUAAUUUGGGGCUAGGUUAGGAUAUUAUAGGUUUAUUUUUGCAUUUUUCUUUAUAUUUGGACUGUAUAAAAUGGGCUAUACUUUAUUUUUGUUUUGAAUUUCUGUGUCUUUUGGAGUUUUGAACUUUAUAAUGUCAAACAGUCAUUAUGAUUCAACAAAGAAACCGUGUUCAAACCAUAGAUUGAGGGGUACUUCCCACCUUUUCCUCGGUCAACGGAGUUCCUUAACCUAAAUUUGCAUCAAUUGAUCAAUAUUUUAAGAGUCAGUUAUUUUGAAAAGUAAUGUUUAAUGUGACUUGGCACACCAAACCAAUACCAAAUUGUGACUCUGAGUUUUGAAUGUAAUCUCUAUUCAAAAUAUUUUUUCUAUUCACUUUCAAUAAUUGAAAACCCUUAUGAACCAUAAUUAAAAUUUUUGAUUAAAAAAGGUGUGGUACAAUGUUAGAUCACUGAGUGAUCUACCAUUGACCUCCUUAUACUCCAUAUUAAUCUCCAUCGGGGUGUAUAAAACCUUGUCAUUAGUAAGAGAAACCAUUGC
Molecule: long non-coding RNA, 2061 nt
Filed under: Capsicum annuum
Lineage: Eukaryota; Viridiplantae; Streptophyta; Magnoliopsida; Solanales; Solanaceae
Description: long non-coding RNA (CANN_LNC017454)
Source: RNAcentral